GUGGGGCUGGGGCUCAGCGGUAGAGCGCUCGCCUAGCAUGUGUGAGGCCCUGGGUUCAAUCCUCAGCACCACA
Molecule: transfer RNA, 73 nt
Filed under: Marmota monax (woodchuck)
Lineage: Eukaryota; Metazoa; Chordata; Mammalia; Rodentia; Sciuridae
Description: tRNA.Ala
Rfam family: tRNA
About the family: Transfer RNA (tRNA) molecules are approximately 80 nucleotides in length. Their secondary structure includes four short double-helical elements and three loops (D, anti-codon, and T loops).
Source: RNAcentral